AACGAACGCUGGCGGCAGGCUUAACACAUGCAAGUCGAACGCACCGCAAGGUGAGUGGCAGACGGGUGAGUAACGCGUGGGAACCUACCUAUCGGUUCGGAAUAACUCGGGGAAACUCGAGCUAAUACCGGAUACGCCCUUCGGGGGAAAGAUUUAUCGCCGAAUGAUGGGCCCGCGUUGGAUUAGCUAGUUGGUGAGGUAAUGGCUCACCAAGGCGACGAUCCAUAGCUGGUCUGAGAGGAUGAUCAGCCACACUGGGACUGAGACACGGCCCAGACUCCUACGGGAGGCAGCAGUGGGGAAUCUUAGACAAUGGGGGCAACCCUGAUCUAGCCAUGCCGCGUGAGUGAUGAAGGCCUUAGGGUUGUAAAGCUCUUUCAGCUGGGAAGAUAAUGACGGUACCAGCAGAAGAAGCCCCGGCUAACUCCGUGCCAGCCGCCGCAGUAACAC
RNAcentral lists this ribosomal RNA (450 nucleotides) under uncultured bacterium. RNAcentral's name for it is "bacterial SSU rRNA". It matches the Rfam family "Bacterial small subunit ribosomal RNA", at positions 29 to 526 of the family's 1533-position model. The record is from RNAcentral.